AAGAUCGAAGAUGAGGAGCUGGUCUCCUACAUCCUUACGGGUCUGGACAGGGAAUAUGAUCCCGUGGUGUCGGCGGUGGCGGCACGUGUCGAACCAAUCUCAGUUGGGGAACUUUAUACCCAGCUGACAAGCUUUGAGC
Sorghum bicolor (sorghum) is the source of this 139-nucleotide small nucleolar RNA. It matches the Rfam family "Small nucleolar RNA Z247". From Rfam's summary of the family: Z247 is a member of the C/D class of snoRNA which contain the C (UGAUGA) and D (CUGA) box motifs. Most of the members of the box C/D family function in directing site-specific 2'-O-methylation of substrate RNAs. The record is from Rfam. Lineage: Eukaryota; Viridiplantae; Streptophyta; Magnoliopsida; Poales; Poaceae.